RNAcentral lists this ribosomal RNA (497 nucleotides) under uncultured bacterium. RNAcentral's name for it is "partial 16S ribosomal RNA". It matches the Rfam family "Bacterial small subunit ribosomal RNA", at positions 28 to 507 of the family's 1533-position model. The record is from RNAcentral.
GAUGAACGCUGGCGGCGUGCCUAAUACAUGCAAGUCGAGCGAACAGAUGAGGAGCUUGCUCCUCUGACGUUAGCGGCGGACGGGUGAGUAACACGUGGAUAACCUACCUAUAAGACUGGGAUAACUUCGGGAAACCGGAGCUAAUACCGGAUAAUAUAUUGAACCGCAUUGUUCAAUAAUGAAAGACGGUUUUGCUGUCACUUAUAGAUGGAUCCGCGCCGCAUUAGCUAGUUGGUAAGGUAACGGCUUACCAAGGCAACGAUGCGUAGCCGACCUGAGAGGGUGAUCGGCCACACUGGAACUGAGACACGGUCCAGACUCCUACGGGAGGCAGCAGUAGGGAAUCUUCCGCAAUGGGCGAAAGCCUGACGGAGCAACGCCGCGUGAGUGAUGAAGGUCUUCGGAUCGUAAAACUCUGUUAUUAGGGAAGAACAAAUGUGUAAGUAACUAUGCACGUCUUGACGGUACCUAAUCAGAAAGCCACGGCUAACUACGUG